This 253-nucleotide ribosomal RNA is filed under the name uncultured bacterium. RNAcentral describes it as "partial 16S ribosomal RNA". It matches the Rfam family "Bacterial small subunit ribosomal RNA", at positions 524 to 776 of the family's 1533-position model. The record is from RNAcentral.
UACGUAGGGUGCGAGCGUUAAUCGGAAUUACUGGGCGUAAAGUGUGCGCAGGCGGCAGAGCAAGUCGAGUGUGAAAGCCCCGGGCUUAACUUGGGAAUUGCGCUCGAAACUACUUUGCUGGAGUGUGGCAGAGGAAGGUGGAGUUCCACGUGUAGCGGUGAAAUGCGUAGAGAUGUGGAGGAACACCAAUGGCGAAGGCAGCCUUCUGGGCCAACACUGACGCUCAUGCACGAAAGCGUGGGGAGCAAACAGG